UGGGGAAUUUUGGACAAUGGGGGAAACCCUGAUCCAGCCAUCCCGCGUGUGCGAUGAAGGCCUUCGGGUUGUAAAGCACUUUUGGCAGGAAAGAAACGUCAUGGGUUAAUACCCCGUGAAACUGACGGUACCUGCAGAAUAAGCACCGGCUAACUACGUGCCAGCAGCCGCGGUAAUACGUAGGGUGCAAGCGUUAAUCGGAAUUACUGGGCGUAAAGCGUGCGCAGGCGGUUCGGAAAGAAAGAUGUGAAAUCCCAGAGCUCAACUUUGGAACUGCAUUUUUAACUACCGGGCUAGAGUGUGUCAGAGGGAGGUGGAAUUCCGCGUGUAGCAGUGAAAUGCGUAGUUAUGCGGAGGAACACCGAUGGCGAAGGCAGCCUCCUGUGAUAACACUGACGCUCAUGCACGAAAGCGUGGGGAGCAAACAGG
This 429-nucleotide ribosomal RNA is filed under the name Acidobacteriota bacterium. RNAcentral describes it as "Acidobacteria bacterium partial 16S ribosomal RNA". It matches the Rfam family "Bacterial small subunit ribosomal RNA", at positions 355 to 776 of the family's 1533-position model. The record is from RNAcentral. Lineage: Bacteria; Pseudomonadati; Acidobacteriota.